This 490-nucleotide ribosomal RNA is filed under the name uncultured bacterium. Its description in RNAcentral is "partial 16S ribosomal RNA". It matches the Rfam family "Bacterial small subunit ribosomal RNA", at positions 30 to 507 of the family's 1533-position model. The record is from RNAcentral.
AUUGAACGCUGGCGGCAGGCCUAACACAUGCCAGUCGAACGGUAACAGGAAACAGCUUGCUGUUUCGCUGACGAGUGGCGGACGGGUGAGUAAUGUCUGGGGAACUGCCUGAUGGAGGGGGAUAACUACUGGAAACGGUAGCUAAUACCGCAUAACGUCGCAAGACCAAAGAGGGGGACCUUCGGGCCUCUUGCCAUCGGAUGUGCCCAGAUGGGAUUAGCUAGUAGGUGGGGUAACGGCUCACCUAGGCGACGAUCCCUAGCUGGUCUGAGAGGAUGACCAGCCACACUGGAACUGAGACACGGUCCAGACUCCUACGGGAGGCAGCAGUGGGGAAUAUUGCACAAUGGGCGCAAGCCUGAUGCAGCCAUGCCGCGUGUAUGAAGAAGGCCUUCGGGUUGUAAAGUACUUUCAGCGGGGAGGAAGGGAGUAAAGUUAAUACCUUUACUCAUUGACGUUACCCGCAGAAGAAGCACCGGCUAACUCCGUG